RNAcentral lists this ribosomal RNA (271 nucleotides) under uncultured archaeon. RNAcentral's name for it is "partial 16S ribosomal RNA". It matches the Rfam family "Archaeal small subunit ribosomal RNA", at positions 477 to 747 of the family's 1478-position model. The record is from RNAcentral.
CAGCGCCACGAGUGGUAACCACGUUUAUUGGGCCUAAAGCGUCCGUAGCCGGUUUGAUAAAUCUUUUGUGAAAUUGUACAGCUUAACUGUACAGCGUGCAAGAGACACUGUCAAACUUGAGACCGGGAGGAGUCAGAAGUAUUCCAGAGGGAGCGGUAAAAUGUUAUAAUCUCUGGAGGACUACCUGUGGCGAAGGCGUCUGACCAGAACGGAUCUGACGGUGAGGGACGAAAGCCAGGGGAGCAAACCGGAUUAGAUACCCGAGUAGUCC